Molecule: non-coding RNA, 73 nt
Organism: Balaenoptera ricei (Rice's whale)
Lineage: Eukaryota; Metazoa; Chordata; Mammalia; Artiodactyla; Balaenopteridae
Source: the annotation of a RefSeq genome assembly
UCCCCGGUGGUCCAGUGGGUAAGACUUCAUGCUUCCAAUGCAUGGUGCCCAGGUUCGAUCCCUGGUUGGGGAA